AAAGUAAUGAAUCAUCCAGCUAUCUAUGAAGGUAGAGUAUGACAGAUGUGACAGUCCACAGAAGAUUCUGUCAGCAAUGAGAUAUCCAC
Molecule: long non-coding RNA, 89 nt
Organism: Cebus imitator (Panamanian white-faced capuchin)
Lineage: Eukaryota; Metazoa; Chordata; Mammalia; Primates; Cebidae
Exons: 3
Source: RefSeq, a predicted model, not a curated record